Molecule: long non-coding RNA, 2021 nt
Organism: Cyprinus carpio carpio
Lineage: Eukaryota; Metazoa; Chordata; Actinopteri; Cypriniformes; Cyprinidae
Source: Ensembl
CGUCGUGUUAAUAUUUGACACUGUAUUGAUCUGUGCUUCUGUUUGUUUCAUAUAGUGGCAUUAGUGCUGAGGUUUGCCUUUGAUUCACGUUCCAAGUAAAGGGGCUCUAAAACUCUUCUCCAUAUAUAAAAACACAGGCCCCCAAUUAACGAUUCGAGGUAAAGUUCAGGGGCAAAAGUCUUUAAAUAACUGAAUAUUCUUUAUUCCCCAUUAAGAAAUGUUAAACGGACAAUCUGUUUUAUAAUUUUCAGUCUCUUUUGCUACCUUUUUAUGCCUAGUAAAUUGCAGUGAAAACAAAACUUCUGAAAUCUUUUAUCUGAAAAGUUUUAUCUUUAUUUCUUACUUUAUUUUGCAGAUUACUAUGAAUAUACUUUUUUAUGAAUUUUACUUUUAUGCGUUUAAUGAAUUACUUUAACUGUACAGUCGUCACACAUUAUCAGUUGCACAUAUAAUUCUAGGUAAAACAAUUAUAAGAAAAUAUAAUUUGAUAUUUGUAAAUUUAGAAUUACUGUAGAUUACCUGUUCCCAUGCGCCUUUUUGUGACAUUUAUUUCUACGCGUUGCUUUUCUAAUGUUUACUAUCUGUCCACCACUGCUGUAUAUAGUUAAAAGAUAUACAAAUUCUGGUUUCAUAGGCAAGGAGAGACGCCUAGGUAGGCCUCAACCGAAAAACCCUCCAUCACCCCCUACAUACACACACACCGCUGCGCACGUCACGGAGACACGAGUGCGAAUGAAAAAUAUCGACCACUAUGAGAAUGUGCGCAGAUGUGGCUGGCUGCUAAAUUUCGUGCUUGAAUACGAUCUUUUUCAUCACAUUAAUGGUCGAUGGUGAUAAUGCAAAGUCUGUGACCUGGCUUGCCAUUUUUUGUUUAUGUGAAAAUAAAUUAUAUCGUGAGCCAGAGAGUUUGUUGCCACUGUAAAUUCCUGAAUUCAUAAUGAGCGCUGUUAGCUUCAGGAGUCUUGAAGCGUCACCUUUGACAUGUCCCCUAUGCGCACGAGCGGGGGCCCGGGGCUGUGGGCCCCAGGACUGACCACUGCAAGCUGUCAAGCUGUCACCCCACCCGGGCUUGGACGCUUUCGCCGGGCUCCUAACAGUCCAGUUAUCCCGCUCUCUCGCUUGACUGGACAUGAAACUGACUUUUUGGAGUCGAUUUUUAACUAUAAACAAUGUGUAGUCGUGCAAAGUGAUAUCUCUUUAAUGUAUGUGUGGGGGUGUGGUGGGGGAUCCUGUAACUGCCUUGGUAAUUUUUGUCUUGCCAACCAAAAAAAAUUAUUGGUUCUUUUUGUUCUUUUAAAAACGUAUGUGUACAAAUUCAGCAUGGACGAAUUGUGUUAUAGAUUUUGAUCUGCCUCCUAUCUUUUACACAAUCUACAUUAAUUGUGUUUAUAUAGAUUGAAUUUGCUAACUGCAUUUUGCAAAGUCGGAUUGACACUUUUUUAACUGUUUAAAAUACAAACGAAUUUUUGUAACACUGAUUUGGCAUAUAAAUGGGUUUUGCCUAUUCAUUUUUGUGCAGAAUGAAGUUUACCCAUGAAACAUAAUGUGCUGUGUCAUUAUUCUGCCAGGCCGCGGAAGCGGGACACACUCCUGAUGGCUUGGUUCGUUACUCUUAAUAGCACAACAAUAGAAACAUCUGUCCAGCCUUUCUUUGCCUAUUACCAAUCCGUCUGUCCUUGAUCCCAAAAAACACUACAGCUCUGCAUGGUACAGGAUGAGUAAUAUUCAGCAAUCUGUAUACUUUUUUUUCAUUAAAAAUAUAUAUUUAUUUAUUCUGUGUGUCAGACCUCUCUUAUUUCAACUGAAUGUCAAUUUGUAGCCUAUAUACAUUAUAUUGAUAAUAUCUGCAAUCAUAUGUGCAUGCGUAUAAACAUUUCUCUGAAGCUUGGAGCAGGACAGAAACUAAUGUAGGCUAUAUGUAUAUUAAUGCAAGCAGAAGCCUCCAGGUGAACCCGGAAGUUUUCUACACCCAUCGCAUUAAGGAGGUUCUGCAAAACUAAUUGCAUUUAUUCAUGAAUUAU